GACGAACGCUGGCGGCGUGCUUAACACAUGCCAGUCGAACGGAAAGGCCCUGCUUGCAGGGUACUCGAGUGGCGAACGGGUGAGUAACACGUGGGUGAUCUGCCCUGCACUUCGGGAUAAGCCUGGGAAACUGGGUCUAAUACCGGAUAGGAGCCAUUUUUAGUGUGAUGGUUGGAAAGUUUGUUCGGUGUAGGAUGAGCUCGCAGCCUAUCAGCUUGUUGGUGGGGUAAUGGCCUACCAAGGCGGCGACGGGUAGCCGGCCUGAGAGGGUGGACGGCCACAUUGGGACUGAGAUACGGCCCAGACUCCUACGGGAGGCAGCAGUGGGGAAUAUUGCACAAUGGGCGCAAGCCUGAUGCAGCGACGCCGCGUGGGGGAUGACGGCCUUCGGGUUGUAAACUCCUUUCGCUAGGGACGAAGCUUUUGUGACGGUACCUAGAUAAGAAGCACCGGCUAACUACGUG
RNAcentral lists this ribosomal RNA (464 nucleotides) under uncultured bacterium. Its description in RNAcentral is "partial 16S ribosomal RNA". It matches the Rfam family "Bacterial small subunit ribosomal RNA", at positions 28 to 507 of the family's 1533-position model. The record is from RNAcentral.